RNAcentral lists this transfer RNA (72 nucleotides) under Bos taurus (domestic cattle). It matches the Rfam family "tRNA". From Rfam's summary of the family: Transfer RNA (tRNA) molecules are approximately 80 nucleotides in length. Their secondary structure includes four short double-helical elements and three loops (D, anti-codon, and T loops). Lineage: Eukaryota; Metazoa; Chordata; Mammalia; Artiodactyla; Bovidae. The record is from Rfam by way of RNAcentral. RNAcentral also lists the same sequence under 2 other names.
UCCCUGGUGGCUCAGAUGGUAAAGCAUCUGCUUGCAACGCGGAAGACCCUGGUUCAAUCCCUGAGUCGGGAA